Molecule: ribosomal RNA, 497 nt
Filed under: uncultured bacterium
Lineage: Bacteria
Description: partial 16S ribosomal RNA
Rfam family: Bacterial small subunit ribosomal RNA
Source: RNAcentral
GAUGAACGCUGGCGGCGUGCCUAAUACAUGCAAGUCGAACGCACAGCGAAAGGUGCUUGCACCUUUCACGUGAGUGGCGAACGGGUGAGUAACACGUGGACAACCUGCCUCAAGGCUGGGGAUAACAUUUGGAAACAGAUGCUAAUACCGAAUAAAACUUAGUGUCGCAUGACACAAAGUUAAAAGGCGCUUCGGCGUCACCUAGAGAUGGAUCCGCGGUGCAUUAGUUAGUUGGUGGGGUAAAGGCCUACCAAGACAAUGAUGCAUAGCCGAGUUGAGAGACUGAUCGGCCACAUUGGGACUGAGACACGGCCCAAACUCCUACGGGAGGCUGCAGUAGGGAAUCUUCCACAAUGGGCGAAAGCCUGAUAGAGCAACGCCGCGUGUGUGAUGAAGGCUUUCGGGUCGUAAAGCACUGUUGUAUGGGAAGAACAGCUAGAAUAGGAAAUGAUUUUAGUUUGACGGUACCAGACCAGAAAGGGACGGCUAAAUACGUG